UCCGCGGUCUGCGGCGCCGCGCCCUCAGCAGCGCAAGCAGGCUCGACCACCCCCUGGCCGGCGACGUGGUCGGGGUUGACAUCCGACGCCGCGCUAAAGAACAAAGUACUAUCUUCAAAAAAAAGAAAAAGAAAAAAAAGAAAAUUCGCCAUAAUACGUAAGUCGAACACUUACAGGUCUGAUCGACGGUGGGUCGCGGUGAACCUCCUCCUAGCUCUGCCGGUCGGCACCUGCACCUCCGUUUCGACAACGCGCGAAGCAGGAGGGUCGCUGGCCACCCGGUCAGU
RNAcentral lists this long non-coding RNA (287 nucleotides) under Sorghum bicolor (sorghum). RNAcentral describes it as "long non-coding RNA (SBIC_LNC008792)". The record is from RNAcentral. Lineage: Eukaryota; Viridiplantae; Streptophyta; Magnoliopsida; Poales; Poaceae.